RNAcentral lists this ribosomal RNA (2183 nucleotides) under Vibrio parahaemolyticus. RNAcentral's name for it is "partial 23S ribosomal RNA". It matches the Rfam family "Bacterial large subunit ribosomal RNA", at positions 1 to 2215 of the family's 2925-position model. Lineage: Bacteria; Pseudomonadati; Pseudomonadota; Gammaproteobacteria; Vibrionales; Vibrionaceae. The record is from RNAcentral.
GUUGUAUGGUUAAGUGACUAAGCGUACACGGUGGAUGCCUUGGCAGUCAGAGGCGAUGAAAGACGUAGUAACUUGCGAUAAGCCCAGAUUAGGUAGUAACAACCAUUUGAGUCUGGGAUUUCUGAAUGGGGAAACCCACGUGCAUAAGCACGUAUCCUUACCUGAAUACAUAGGGUAAGGAGGCGAACCGGGGGAACUGAAACAUCUAAGUACCCCGAGGAAAAGAAAUCAACCGAGAUUCCGAAAGUAGCGGCGAGCGAAAUUGGACUAGCCCUUAAGCUUUACACGCGUUAGACGAACGGUCUGGAAAGUCCGACGAUACAGGGUGAUAGUCCCGUAGUUGACGACGUGUGUUCAGUGAAAUCGAGUAGGGCGGGACACGUGAUAUCCUGUCUGAAUAUGGGGGGACCAUCCUCCAAGGCUAAAUACUACUGACUGACCGAUAGUGAACCAGUACCGUGAGGGAAAGGCGAAAAGAACCCCUGUGAGGGGAGUGAAAUAGAACCUGAAACCGUGUACGUACAAGCAGUAGGAGCAGGCUUUGUCCUGUGACUGCGUACCUUUUGUAUAAUGGGUCAGCGACUUAUAUUCAGUGGCAAGGUUAACCAUCUAGGGGAGCCGUAGGGAAACCGAGUCUUAACUGGGCGUUCAGUCUCUGGAUAUAGACCCGAAACCAGGUGAUCUAGCCAUGGGCAGGUUGAAGGUUGAGUAACAUCAACUGGAGGACCGAACCGACUAAUGUUGAAAAAUUAGCGGAUGACUUGUGGCUAGGGGUGAAAGGCCAAUCAAACCUGGAGAUAGCUGGUUCUCCCCGAAAGCUAUUUAGGUAGCGCCUCGGACGAAUACUACUGGGGGUAGAGCACUGUUAAGGCUAGGGGGUCAUCCCGACUUACCAACCCUUUGCAAACUCCGAAUACCAGUAAGUACUAUCCGGGAGACACACGGCGGGUGCUAACGUCCGUCGUGGAGAGGGAAACAACCCAGACCGCCAGCUAAGGUCCCAAAUUACUACUAAGUGGGAAACGAUGUGGGAAGGCUCAGACAGCCAGGAUGUUGGCUUAGAAGCAGCCAUCAUUUAAAGAAAGCGUAAUAGCUCACUGGUCGAGUCGGCCUGCGCGGAAGAUGUAACGGGGCUAAGUAGUAAACCGAAGCUGCGGCAAUGUGCUUUUGCACAUUGGGUAGGGGAGCGUUCUGUAAGCGGUUGAAGGUGUGUGGUAACGCAUGCUGGACGUAUCAGAAGUGCGAAUGCUGACAUGAGUAACGAUAAAGGGGGUGAAAAACCUCCUCGCCGGAAGACCAAGGGUUCCUGUCCAACGUUAAUCGGGGCAGGGUAAGUCGACCCCUAAGGCGAGGCCGAAAGGCGUAGUCGAUGGGAAACGGGUUAAUAUUCCCGUACUUCUUACAAUUGCGAUGGGGGGACGGAGAAGGCUAGGUGGGCCUGGCGACGGUUGUCCAGGUUCAAGUGCGUAGGCUUAAGAGUUAGGUAAAUCCGGCUCUUUCUAAGGCUGAGACACGACGUCGAGCACCUACGGGUGUGAAGUCAUUGAUGCCAUGCUUCCAGGAAAAGCCUCUAAGCUUCAGAUUGUAAGGAAUCGUACCCCAAACCGACACAGGUGGUCGGGUAGAGAAUACCAAGGCGCUUGAGAGAACUCGGGUGAAGGAACUAGGCAAAAUGGUACCGUAACUUCGGGAGAAGGUACGCUCUUGAUGGUGAAGUCCCUCGCGGAUGGAGCUGACGAGAGUCGCAGAUACCAGGUGGCUGCAACUGUUUAUUAAAAACACAGCACUGUGCAAAAUCGUAAGAUGACGUAUACGGUGUGACGCCUGCCCGGUGCCGGAAGGUUAAUUGAUGGGGUUAGACUUCGGUCGAAGCUCUUGAUCGAAGCCCCGGUAAACGGCGGCCGUAACUAUAACGGUCCUAAGGUAGCGAAAUUCCUUGUCGGGUAAGUUCCGACCUGCACGAAUGGCGUAAUGAUGGCCACGCUGUCUCCACCCGAGACUCAGUGAAAUUGAAAUCGCUGUGAAGAUGCAGUGUACCCGCGGCUAGACGGAAAGACCCCGUGAACCUUUACUACAGCUUGGCACUGAACAUUGACCCUACAUGUGUAGGAUAGGUGGGAGGCUUUGAAGCACGUACGCCAGUAUGUGUGGAGCCGUCCUUGAAAUACCACCCUUGUAGUGUU